UAACAAGGUUUCCGUAGGUGAACCUGCGGAAGGAUCAUUAAUAAUGCCCUCUGACGCAAGUCAUUGGGUUAGAUCUGCUCUCUUCGCAAGAAGAGGGUUUCCAUACACACCGUGAACUGUGGCUUCGGCCAUCACAAACUGUUAGUAAUGAAUGUAAUAUCAUAACAAAAACAAAACUUUUAACAACGGAUCUCUUGGCUCUCGCAUCGAUGAAGAACGCAGCG
This 224-nucleotide unclassified non-coding RNA is filed under the name uncultured fungus. RNAcentral describes it as "partial contains 18S rRNA, ITS1, 5.8S rRNA". The stretch from base 175 to 224 matches the Rfam family "5.8S ribosomal RNA", at positions 1 to 50 of the family's 154-position model. Lineage: Eukaryota; Fungi. The record is from RNAcentral.